CAGUUUCACAGUCCUACAGUUUAGCUGCUCUGGUCAGGAACUUUGCAUUUCUCGUGAAGCAAUAACAGCCUUCUUCAGCUGCAAUGUUAUUAACUCAAAUACCACGACUCCCCUUCCUGUGAGCUGAUAGUGCUUUCUGCCUUUGUUUCACUACUGCUCUUCUCAUACCUUCCGUUGAAGUAUAUUACAGAAAUGAUUGGCGCUUGCCUAGCACAUUAUAUCUGCAGAAGAUAUUCACAGGUCCUAACUAGUAGGUCUCAGAGCAUAUUAGAGGUCAUUUCUCAACAGAAAGGGUAGAAACAGCGUUUAGUAUUGGGCUGUCUCUCUGAUAUUUCUCUGGGCUCUGUUUGAUGCUUGGAAUAUUUUUGGAACAGAUGCUAGAUCGGUUGUGUCUUUUGAGGAGCUUGGGAACUGACAACUGCAGAAGGACAAUAUGGUCUAAAACCUUAUUACAAGUGCAACAGUAUUUCUAAGAUGAUAAAAUUGUUUGCAAAGAUCUUUUGGCCUGCUGGAAACAAAUCUCAUGUGCCUUCCUCCAGCUAGCUGGAAGGGGGGAAACUUACCUGAAGUUUUCUGCCUUUUUGGCAGGGCAGCAAGUCCGUAUGAGGCUCUAAAAAUGAAACCAACAGGAGAAACGGGCUAUGGACUGAGCCAAGGGACAGCCAGCGGGGAAUUUGUGCUCCCACUGAGUGAGAUUGGAGAUGAUGUAGAUAUGAAAUGGUUAAGAACUUGAAGAAAUGAUGGAAUCCAUCUGGCAUGGGACAAAACCCGCAACUAUCCUCACCCACAGAAGUGGCUUCACUGCUAAAAGAGUUGCAGCACCAACUGAAGCCCUGCUUUCACCUGCUGAUGGCUAACUGCACUAGGAACAGAAACAUUUUUUACCUGUUGCAACUCCAUUGAAGCCAACAGAUUUGUAUGCAAGAGCUUGGGGCAGAGGCAGUGUGCUGUCUGUUGCUAGUUUUAUAAGUGAUUGCAUAUUUGUUUGCUCAAAACCAUAUUGUAAUGCAAAUUGUAUGCCAAUGAAAAUACAGAAUAAUUUGUCUUGGUUGCAGAACCAAAGCUGCACGAUCUAGAUCUCAA
Numida meleagris (helmeted guineafowl) is the source of this 1083-nucleotide long non-coding RNA. RefSeq lists it as uncharacterized. Lineage: Eukaryota; Metazoa; Chordata; Aves; Galliformes; Numididae. The transcript has 2 exons. The record is from RefSeq and is a predicted model, not a curated record.